GUCACCAGCAUUUUUGGCCAGACAUGGUAUUGUUUGUCCAGGUGAUUUAAAAAUAAUUAUAAUGGUACAAGGUCCAGCAGUGAAUCCAUUACUAAGUUCUGACACAAACAUGUGCCCGGUUACAGGUCGAGGUCACGGCACAGUGGGGGCGCACUGGCAGAUCCAGGUCCAGUGAGGGCUCGAGACGCAGCAGCCGGUCCAGGUCACAGUAUGGUGAUGUUUUGAGGCACACCAGCAUCUCCAGGCCUAACGGGUUACGCUGUAGCAAUCUGACCAGCCCCCGUAUUACAGGCUAAGGCAUGGUGAGUUGUCAGAAGACCAUUUCAUCAGAGCACUUUGCAAUUCAUUGUUUGGUACUGAUUGUUAGGUUAUGUCGAAUUUAUAUUUCUCUUCUUAUGCUGCCCAAAUCUGUUGAUACGUUUGUCCGCUGUUAAUUUCUAAAUUCAACUUUCUGUGGUGCAGAUGUAGUGACCGAUGGAAAGGCGCAAGAACACCAAGGACUGCGUCCACAAAGUCCUUAACAACUGUUCACUAACGGCCAGAUGGCAAAAUUGAAUAUGAAGAGGAAGGUGAUGGACAAGAAGCCUUUUGAGAAGACUCCUGUUUAUAAAGAUGGAGUCAUGAAAUUGGAUUCAACAGCAACAGAGGGCUCAGUAAGGCUGUGUGCCUCUGAACACCUUAAACAUUCACCACAGGGAGGUGGAGAUCACUGCACUGUUUCUCAGGACUGAAAAACUUCAAUCAGGGACAAAGGAGAAGGUGGUGAAAGACUGGUGUGGAGCAGAAGGAGCUGCGGAAGGAAGGAGGAGGUGUAGGUGAACCGUGCCGGACACCACGCUCUGAAACAGGGACAAACCCAGGAGGCGCUGCACCGUUUUAGAGGAUCAGACAGAGACUUAAGUCAGCCAGGUUUCCUCCGGGUGCUACAGUUACCCCGACCUCAAAAAACAUGCUGCUCAGGUUGGUCCACAGUGGUGGCGCAGCUAUGGAC
Molecule: long non-coding RNA, 991 nt
Filed under: Neogobius melanostomus (round goby)
Lineage: Eukaryota; Metazoa; Chordata; Actinopteri; Gobiiformes; Gobiidae
Description: lncRNA (ENSNMLG00000026899.1)
Source: RNAcentral